This 1241-nucleotide ribosomal RNA is filed under the name metagenome. RNAcentral describes it as "bacterial LSU rRNA". It matches the Rfam family "Bacterial large subunit ribosomal RNA", at positions 1564 to 2816 of the family's 2925-position model. The record is from RNAcentral.
UGAGUACGAGAUGCUACGGCAUCGAAGCAGUCUAUGUCAUACUUCCAAGAAAAGCUUGCACUGUCAUAAACAAAGAAUGCCUGUACCAUAACCGACACAGGUGGGUAGGUAGAGUAUACUAGGGGCGCGAGAUAACUCUCUCUAAGGAACUCGGCAAAAUGACUCCGUAACUUCGGGAGAAGGAGUGCCUUAUUUCUAAGGUUGCAAUAACAAGAUCCAAGCAACUGUUUACCAAAAACACAGGUCUCCGCUAAGUCGUAAGACGAUGUAUGGGGGCUGACGCCUGCCCAGUGCCAGAAGGUUAAAGGAGUUGGUUAGCAUUAGCGAAGCUGAUAACUGAAGCCCUGGUGAACGGCGGCCGUAACGAUAGCGGUCCUAAGGUAGCGAAAUUCCUUGUCGGGUAAGUUCCGACCCGCACGAAAGGCGUAAUGAUUUGGAUACUGUCUCGGAGAGGGGCUCGGUGAAAUAGACUUGUCUGUGAAGAUGCGGACUACCUGCACCUGGACAGAAAGACCCUAUGAAGCUUUACUGUAACUUGAGAUUGAAAUUGGACUUUAUUUGCGCAGUAUAGGUGGGAGGCGUUGAGAAUAAUCUUGCGGGAUUGUUGGAGCCAUCAGUGAGAUACCACUCUUGUAAUGUUAGAUUUCUAACUUUGUAUCAUUAUCUGGUCAAAGAACAGUUUCAGGCGGGCAGUUUGACUGGGGCGGUCGCCUCCCAAAGGGUAACGGAGGCGCACAAAGGUUUCCUCUGAACGGGUAGAAAUCGUAUCUAGAGUGUAAAGGCAUAAGGAAGCUUGACUGUGAGACCUACAAGUCGAGCAGGGACGAAAGUCGGUCUUAGUGAUCUGACGGUGCUGAGUGGAAAGGCCGUCACUCAACGGAUAAAAGUUACUCUAGGAUAACAGGCUGAUCUCCCCCAAGAGUUCACAUCGACGGGGAGGUUUGGCACCUCGAUGUCGGCUCAUCGCAUCCUGGGGCGGUAGUCCGUCCCAAGGGUUGGGCUGUUCGCCCAUGAGAGCGGUACGCGAGCUGGGUUCAGAACGUCGUGAGACAGUUCGGUCCAUAUCCGGUGUAGGCGUUAGAAUAUUGAGAGGAGCCUUCUCUAGUACGAGAGGACCGAGAAGGACAUACCUCUGGUGUACCAGUUAUCGUGCCAACGGUAAACGCUGGGUAGCUAUGUAUGGAGUGGAUAACCGCUGAAAGCAUCUAAGUGGGAAGCCCACCUCAAGAUAAGUAUUCUCA